AGGUUGUUUGGAUCCCAGACUGACUAUCGUCUAACCAAAGAGCGCACAGGAACCACACGGCUCACUGGGAUGUGUGUGAACAGAAUGCAGAGACGGUUUAAGCUGGUCGGAGAUGGAUCUUGCUAUUCUUUCAAAGGUCUUUGCCCUGAAUCUUGAAGGUGGCUCUUCUCUGCUCGGGUUGACACAGUAAAACAGCUUCCAGAGCAUUAGACACUGCCUGACAGGAAUAAUCUCCCAGAACUUCAUAGCACUGGUCUGGCCUUCACCCUCACAACCAGUAUGAG
Molecule: long non-coding RNA, 284 nt
Organism: Acipenser ruthenus (sterlet)
Lineage: Eukaryota; Metazoa; Chordata; Actinopteri; Acipenseriformes; Acipenseridae
Exons: 3
Source: RefSeq, a predicted model, not a curated record